This 868-nucleotide ribosomal RNA is filed under the name uncultured Bacillaceae bacterium. RNAcentral's name for it is "bacterial SSU rRNA". It matches the Rfam family "Bacterial small subunit ribosomal RNA", at positions 34 to 884 of the family's 1533-position model. The record is from RNAcentral. Lineage: Bacteria; Bacillati; Bacillota; Bacilli; Caryophanales; Bacillaceae.
CGCUGGCGGCGUGCCUAAUACAUGCAAGUCGAGCGGAUCUGAGGGAGCUUGCUCCCAAAGAUUAGCGGCGGACGGGUGAGUAACACGUGGGCAACCUGCCUGUAAGAUCGGGAUAACUCCGGGAAACCGGGGCUAAUACCGGAUAAUUCUUUUCCCCUCAUGGGGAAAAGCUGAAAGACGGUUUCGGCUGUCACUUACAGAUGGGCCCGCGGCGCAUUAGCUAGUUGGUGAGGUAACGGCUCACCAAGGCCACGAUGCGUAGCCGACCUGAGAGGGUGAUCGGCCACACUGGGACUGAGACACGGCCCAGACUCCUACGGGAGGCAGCAGUAGGGAAUCUUCCGCAAUGGACGAAAGUCUGACGGAGCAACGCCGCGUGAGCGAUGAAGGCCUUCGGGUCGUAAAGCUCUGUUGUUAGGGAAGAACAAGUAUCGGAGUAACUGCCGGUACCUUGACGGUACCUAACCAGAAAGCCACGGCUAACUACGUGCCAGCAGCCGCGGUAAUACGUAGGUGGCAAGCGUUGUCCGGAAUUAUUGGGCGUAAAGCGCGCGCAGGUGGUUCCUUAAGUCUGAUGUGAAAGCCCACGGCUCAACCGUGGAGGGUCAUUGGAAACUGGGGAACUUGAGUGCAGAAGAGGAAAGUGGAAUUCCACGUGUAGCGGUGAAAUGCGUAGAGAUGUGGAGGAACACCAGUGGCGAAGGCGACUUUCUGGUCUGUAACUGACACUGAGGCGCGAAAGCGUGGGGAGCGAACAGGAUUAGAUACCCUGGUAGUCCACGCCGUAAACGAUGAGUGCUAAGUGUUAGAGGGUUUCCGCCCUUUAGUGCUGCAGCAAACGCAUUAAGCACUCCGCCUGGGGAGUACG